Gadus chalcogrammus (walleye pollock) is the source of this 1498-nucleotide long non-coding RNA. RefSeq lists it as uncharacterized. The transcript has 5 exons. The record is from RefSeq and is a predicted model, not a curated record. NCBI's taxonomy places the organism in Eukaryota, Metazoa, Chordata, Actinopteri, Gadiformes, Gadidae.
CAGAGUAAAAUUGAACAAGAAAACUUCCAGUGUUGGUGAAAAUAAUCGGAGUUGACAGUGGUUUUACUCUGUCAGUGUCAUUGACUCUCUCAGAGUUAAAUCAACACCGAUUAGAGCAAGACGCCUUCCAGUGUUAAAAAAAAAAUACGGUGAAAAGCCCCUCCCAUCAACUUCCCCGGUCAAACCGUUGGAGAACGUGGACUCUGGCACCGGCAUCUUCCUCGCAUCGAAAUACCGUGAUACCAUCAUGUUGAUCAAAACCAGAAUCUACAAUACACAGAAAUAUGUCAAGAUAAAAGAGCCAAGCCUUGAGGAAUUCUUAACUUCUGCUUUCUUGAAGUUCUCAGUUCCGCCAGUCGAUGAAGGUGUCAAGGUUUUUGAUGAAACAGGAAACUGAGGUGGAUGCAGAGGUCUUCGCUGACAUAGCGCAGCUUCCCAACACUGGCAUACUAACCAUCACGUUUGAUGACGAUUUGAAGGAAACUUUGUCCAGCAGUUCCCAAGAUGCAAAUUCCAGUGCACUGUCUGCUAACCCAUUGGCGCCGGAUGCUGCGUAGCGCAGCAUAGCCCCUCCUGCCGGUUGCUGCGUAGCGCAACAUAGGCUUUCCUGCCGGUUGCUGCGUAGCGCAGCAUUUUGUACACGUGCUGUUUUCAUGACGAAUGCAACAUAUAACUCACUCUGGUUGGUUAAAAAUACACAUGGGGUGGGUCUUAAGGCUUUGGUAAAGAUCAGGAGACCACCAGAACGAACUUUGGUUGGCUGAAAAUCACGUCAAUCAAUCAUAUAGCCACGCGAUAUUCUAUGUUUGUUUUUAGCGACGCGUCUAGCUGGCGACCGAGAAGUAGCAAUGAACAUGGAGGAUUUUGAUAGCGAUGGCAGUGAUAUUGUCAUAGAAUUCAAGGGAUUUGAGUAUGAGAAUGAGGACGAGAAUGAUUUUGUGCCGGUUGAUCCACUGGAUCGGGCACAGAAGUGGGAAUUUUUGGACACCGAAGGAGAGGAGGAGGAUGUCUUUCGGGGAUUCCAGGUGGACUGGAGAACCGGGCAAUUACCAGCCUUGGAAAACAAAGACAUUCUCUCGCACACCGGGGGUGAAACAACCGAUCCCCUUGGAUGCUAGCCCACUCGAUGUGUUUUCCAGGAUCUUUACCGAUCAGCUGUGGGACACGUUAUUGACCGAAACGAAUCGGUACGCGCAACAGGUACGAGCUCAUACCCCCACGACCAGUGGCGGCGCCAGAGAUUUUUUUCUGGUGGUGCUAUGGGGGUGCUCGGCGUUUUACUGAGGGUGCUAUGAAAUUAGGGUGAUAGCAUAUGAGUCUCAUUUUUCUCUACUACAACACCUCCCCACCAUAUCGUCACAUAUGUUUACACGUUUGCUCUCUAACGGGUCUUUGGGGUACAAAAAAAGCGCCAUUCAAAUCGAUCGUAUUAUUAUUGUCAUUAGGCUACUUCUGACGGACGCGCACAAAGCCGCGUUCAUCUCCGACGGUUAAAAUG